AUAGUGAUCCGGUGGUUCUGAAUGGAAGGGCCAUCGCUCAACGGAUAAAAGGUACUCCGGGGAUAACAGGCUGAUACCGCCCAAGAGUUCAUAUCGACGGCGGUGUUUGGCACCUCGAUGUCGGCUCAUCACAUCCUGGGGCUGAAGUAGGUCCCAAGGGUAUGGCUGUUCGCCAUUUAAAGUGGUACGCGAGCUGGGUUUAGAACGUCGUGAGACAGUUCGGUCCCUAUCUGCCGUGGGCGCUGGAGAACUGAGGGGGGCUGCUCCUAGUACGAGAGGACCGGAGUGGACGCAUCACUGGUGUUCGGGUUGUCAUGCCAAUGGCACUGCCCGGUAGCUAAAUGCGGAAGAGAUAAGUGCUGAAAGCAUCUAAGCACGAAACUUGCCCCGAGAUGAGUUCUCCCUGACCCUUUAAGGGUCCUGAAGGAACGUUGAAGACGACGACGUUGAUAGGCCGGGUGUGUAAGCGCAGCGAUGCGUUGAGCUA
This 487-nucleotide ribosomal RNA is filed under the name Escherichia coli. RNAcentral's name for it is "partial 23S ribosomal RNA". It matches the Rfam family "Bacterial large subunit ribosomal RNA", at positions 2412 to 2893 of the family's 2925-position model. Lineage: Bacteria; Pseudomonadati; Pseudomonadota; Gammaproteobacteria; Enterobacterales; Enterobacteriaceae. The record is from RNAcentral.